RNAcentral lists this small RNA (29 nucleotides) under Bombyx mori (domestic silkworm). RNAcentral's name for it is "ovarian small RNA-33875". The record is from RNAcentral. Lineage: Eukaryota; Metazoa; Arthropoda; Insecta; Lepidoptera; Bombycidae.
UGCCUGUGAUUGCAUGUCAAUAAGAUCAA